This 59-nucleotide ribosomal RNA is filed under the name Mangifera indica (mango). RNAcentral describes it as "partial 28S ribosomal RNA". The record is from RNAcentral. Lineage: Eukaryota; Viridiplantae; Streptophyta; Magnoliopsida; Sapindales; Anacardiaceae.
GACCCCAGNGUCRGGCGGGAUCACCCGCUGAGUUUAAGCAUAUCAUAAAGGGGAAGAAA